Molecule: long non-coding RNA, 217 nt
Filed under: Mytilus galloprovincialis (Mediterranean mussel)
Lineage: Eukaryota; Metazoa; Mollusca; Bivalvia; Mytilida; Mytilidae
Source: RNAcentral
GGCGUUUGUUGGCUUUUGUGCCGCUUCAGAAUGUAAUAAAAUUUGAUAAAAAGAAGAUUUUUAGCUACAACAAGUGAGUUUUUUUGGCUAAUUAUUGUAGAAAUUACAUGUCAAUACAUUCAGCAAUUCAAAAUGUCGGCUUCCUUAGUUACAGACAAGGAGAUAGAAAAUUUUACGCUAACUGUCAUCCAAUCAGAACCAUUGAUAGAAAAUAAUU